CCCUUAGAUGUCCGGGGCCGCACGCGCGCUACACUGUUUGAUUCAGCGAGUCUUAACCUUGACCGAAAGGUUUGGGUAAUCUUCUAAAGUCAAACGUGAUGGGGAUCGAUCAUUGCAAUUAUUGAUCGUGAACGAGGAAUUCCUAGUAAAUGCAAGUCAUCAGCUUGCGUUGAUUACGUCCCUGCCCUUUGUACACACCGCCCGUCGCUACUACCGAUUGAAUGGUUUAGUGAGAUCUCCGGAUUGGCUCUGUAGGUCCCGCAAGGGAUUUAUUAGUAGCCAAGAAGCUGCUCAAACUUGAUCAUUUAGAGGAAGUAAAAGUCGUAACA
This 329-nucleotide ribosomal RNA is filed under the name uncultured eukaryote. Its description in RNAcentral is "partial 18S ribosomal RNA". It matches the Rfam family "Eukaryotic small subunit ribosomal RNA", at positions 1470 to 1796 of the family's 1831-position model. The record is from RNAcentral.